GACGAACGCUGGCGGCGCGCUUAACACAUGCAAGUCGAGCGAAGCGGCGGCCGGGUGAGUAACACGUGAGUAACCUGCCUUAGACAUUGGGAUAGCAUCGGGAAACCGGGAUUAAUACCAAAUGGUCUAAGAUGUACUCGCGUCCCAUUAGCUAGUUGGGAGGUAACGGCCCAACAAGGCGACGAUGGGUAGCCGGCCUGAGAGGGUGCACCGCCACAUUGGAAUUGAGAAACGGGCGAAACUCUACGGUAGGCAGCAGUGGGGAAUAUUGCACAAUGGAGGAAACUCUGAGGCGGCGACGCCGGGUGAACGAAGAAGGCUUUCGAGUCGUAAAGUUCUUUUAUAUGGGAAGCGGUACCAUAAGAAAAAGCCCCGGCUAACUACGUGCCAGCAGCCGCGGUAAUUC
RNAcentral lists this ribosomal RNA (406 nucleotides) under uncultured bacterium. RNAcentral describes it as "partial 16S ribosomal RNA". It matches the Rfam family "Bacterial small subunit ribosomal RNA", at positions 28 to 526 of the family's 1533-position model. The record is from RNAcentral.